This 156-nucleotide unclassified non-coding RNA is filed under the name uncultured fungus. RNAcentral's name for it is "sequence contains ITS1". The record is from RNAcentral. Lineage: Eukaryota; Fungi.
GAACUGGGAUAUAUACUAUGAAUUGCAGAAUUCAGUUAGCCGGUGAGUAUGCCUGUUUCAGCACCACAACGCAGUGGCGAUUUAACAUCGUCGAUGAUGGGCCUUGACUGAAAUUCAAUUGGUAUCAAACCAGGCAGGACUACCCGUCGAACUAGA